AAUAUAAUUUUAACUCACAUUUGUAUAAUUAAAAAAGGGUUUUAUGCUUUCCCUAUUGGAUGGGCCCCCUGCGCAUUAGUUAGUUUGUGGAGUAAUGGCUCUCCCAAGGCAUCGGAUCGUUGCCGACCCGAGGGGGGAUAUGGCCCCAAUGGGGUUAGAGCCCGGCCCCGACUCCUUCGGGAGGCAGCCGUAGGGAAUUUUUCCCCAUGGGCGAAAACUUGAUGGGGCAACCCCGCGUGAGGGAAGAAAGUUUUUGGAUUGUAAAACUUUGUUGUAAAGGAAGAACAAGUACAGUAGUAACUGGGUGUACCUUGACGGUUCCUUAUUAGAAAACCACGGGUAACUUCGUUCCCGCCACCCGGGGCAAUACGUAGGUGGCAAGGGUUGUUCGGAUUUAUUUGGGGUUAAGCGCGCGCCGGUGGUUUCUUAAAUUUGAUGUGAAAACCCACGGCUUAACCGUGGAGGGUCAUUGGAAAAUGGGAGACUUGAGUUCAGAAGAGGAAAGUGGAAUUCCAAGUGUAGCGGUGAAAUGUGUAGAGAUUUGGAGGAACACCAGUGGCGAAGGCGACUUUCUGGUCUGUAAUUAACUCUGAGGCUUGAAAGCGUGGGGAGCAAACAGGAUUAGAUACCCUGGUAGUCCACGCUGUAAACGAUGAAUACUAGGUGUAGGCACGCAUAGUGUGUCGGUGCCGCGGCACAUGCGUUAAGUAUUCCACGUGGGGAGUACGUUAGCAAGAAUGAUACUCAAAGGAAUUGUCGGGGACCCGCCCGAGCGGUGGAGCAUGUGUUUUACUUUGAAGCAAAGUGAAGAGCUUUGACAGCUCUUGACAUCCAUGUGACGGGACCCCAUCCGGUCUUUGUCCUUGGAGCAGGAGACCCAGGUGGUGCAUGGUGGUGGUCUGCUGGCGUUGUGUCAGUCUCGGUGAAGUCGAUCACCGUGUGCGAUCGUUAUCUUCUGGUGCCA
This 964-nucleotide ribosomal RNA is filed under the name uncultured bacterium. RNAcentral describes it as "bacterial SSU rRNA". It matches the Rfam family "Bacterial small subunit ribosomal RNA", at positions 170 to 1120 of the family's 1533-position model. The record is from RNAcentral.